RNAcentral lists this ribosomal RNA (600 nucleotides) under uncultured bacterium. Its description in RNAcentral is "bacterial SSU rRNA". It matches the Rfam family "Bacterial small subunit ribosomal RNA", at positions 1 to 591 of the family's 1533-position model. The record is from RNAcentral.
GAUUGAGUUUGAUCCUGGCUCAGGAUGAACGCUGGCGGCGUGCUUAACACAUGCAAGUCGAACGGAGAUAUCAUUUUCGAAGCGAUUAGUUUACUAAGAGUGGAGAUGUUGGUAUCUUAGUGGCGGACGGGUGAGUAACGCGUGGGUAACCUGCCUUACACUGGGGGAUAACACUUAGAAAUAGGUGCUAAUACCGCAUAACAGGGAAAGAUGCAUGUCUUUUCCUUGAAAACUCCGGUGGUGUAAGAUGGACCCGCGUCUGAUUAGCUGGUUGGCGGGGUAACGGCCCACCAAGGCGACGAUCAGUAGCCGGCCUGAGAGGGUGAGCGGCCACAUUGGGACUGAGACACGGCCCAAACUCCUACGGGAGGCAGCAGUGGGGAAUAUUGGACAAUGGGGGGAACCCUGAUCCAGCGACGCCCGCGUGAGUGAAGAAGUAUUUCGGUAUGUAAAGCUCUAUCAGCAGGGAAGAAAGAAAUGACGGUACCUGACUAAGAAGCUCCGGCUAACUACGUGCCAGCAGCCGCGGUAAUACGUAAGGGGGCAGCGUUUACCCGGAUUAAUGGGUGUAAAGGGAGCGUAAACGGCGAUGCAAUUCUG